Molecule: ribosomal RNA, 121 nt
Filed under: Scoparia ericacea
Lineage: Eukaryota; Viridiplantae; Streptophyta; Magnoliopsida; Lamiales; Plantaginaceae
Also listed under: 2 other names
Description: partial 18S small subunit ribosomal RNA
Rfam family: Eukaryotic small subunit ribosomal RNA
Source: RNAcentral
GAUCGCGGCGACGUGAGCGGUUCGCUGCCCGCGACGUCGCGAGAAGUCCAUUGAACCUUAUCAUUUAGAGGAAGGAGAAGUCGUAACAAGGUUUCCGUAGGUGAACCUGCGGAAGGAUCAU